CACGUAGGCUGUUUGGUAAGUCAGGGGUGAAAUCCCGCGGCUCAACCGCGGAAUUGCCCUUGAUACUGCUGGACUUGAGUUCGGGAGAGGGUGGCGGAAUUCCAGGUGUAGGAGUGAAAUCCGUAGAUAUCUGGAGGAACAUCAGUGGCGAAGGCGGCCACCUGGACCGAUACUGACGCUGAGGCACGAAAGCGUGGGGAGCAAACA
Molecule: ribosomal RNA, 207 nt
Filed under: uncultured bacterium
Lineage: Bacteria
Description: partial 16S ribosomal RNA
Rfam family: Bacterial small subunit ribosomal RNA
Source: RNAcentral